Molecule: ribosomal RNA, 497 nt
Filed under: uncultured bacterium
Lineage: Bacteria
Description: partial 16S ribosomal RNA
Rfam family: Bacterial small subunit ribosomal RNA
Source: RNAcentral
GAUGAACGCUGGCGGCGUGCCUAAUACAUGCAAGUCGAGCGAACAGAUGAGGAGCUUGCUCCUCUGACGUUAGCGGCGGACGGGUGAGUAACACGUGGAUAACCUACCUAUAAGACUGGGAUAACUUCGGGAAACCGGAGCUAAUACCGGAUAAUAUAUUGAACCGCAUGGUUCAAUAGUGAAAGACGGUUUUGCUGUCACUUAUAGAUGGAUCCGCGCCGCAUUAGCUAGUUGGUAAGGUAACGGCUUACCAAGGCAACGAUGCGUAGCCGACCUGAGAGGGUGAUCGGCCACACUGGAACUGAGACACGGUCCCGACUCCUACGGGAGGCAGCAGUAGGGAAUCUUCCGCAAAGGGCGAGAGCCUGACGGAGCAACGCCGCGUGAGUGAUGAAGGUCUUCGGAUCGUAAAACUCUGUUAUUAGGGAAGAACAAAUGUGUAAGUAACUAUGCACGUCUUGACGGUACCUAAUCAGAAAGCCACGGCUAACUACGUG